Molecule: unclassified non-coding RNA, 226 nt
Filed under: uncultured Ascomycota
Lineage: Eukaryota; Fungi; Ascomycota
Description: sequence contains 5.8S rRNA gene, ITS2, 28S rRNA gene
Source: RNAcentral
AACGCACAUUGCGCCCUUCGGUAUUCCGGAGGGCACACCUGUUCGAGAGCCAUUUCAAAUCUAAGGCUUUGCCUUGUGUUGGCGAUUCCCCUAGCGGGGAGUGCCUAAACUUUUGUGGCGUUACCCACGGUUUAGCGAAACAGCAGAAUGUGGAGCUGCCGGAGGUCGACUGCCAGUCUUCGAAAAGUUUGGCCUCGGAUCAGGUGGGGCUACCCGCUGAACUUAA